AAUUAAUGAACUUGUAAAAGUAUAUGUUUUGAAAACAUAAAAAAGAGAAUUAAUCCUCUAUUAAUUU
Molecule: transfer RNA, 67 nt
Filed under: Fibla maclachlani
Lineage: Eukaryota; Metazoa; Arthropoda; Insecta; Raphidioptera; Inocelliidae
Description: tRNA-Ser
Source: RNAcentral